UCCUCAGUAGCUCAGUGUUAGAGUGGUCGGUUGUUAACUCACUAGUCAUAGGUUUAAGUCCUAUUUAGGGAG
RNAcentral lists this transfer RNA (72 nucleotides) under Hordeum vulgare. RNAcentral's name for it is "tRNA-Asn". It matches the Rfam family "tRNA". From Rfam's summary of the family: Transfer RNA (tRNA) molecules are approximately 80 nucleotides in length. Their secondary structure includes four short double-helical elements and three loops (D, anti-codon, and T loops). Further hydrogen bonds mediate the characteristic L-shaped molecular structure. tRNAs have two regions of fundamental functional importance: the anti-codon, which is responsible for specific mRNA codon recognition, and the 3' end, to which the tRNAs corresponding amino acid is attached (by aminoacyl-tRNA synthetases). tRNAs cope with the degeneracy of the genetic code in two manners: having more than one tRNA (with a specific anti-codon) for a particular amino acid; and 'wobble' base-pairing, i.e. permitting non-standard base-pairing at the 3rd anti-codon position. The record is from RNAcentral. Lineage: Eukaryota; Viridiplantae; Streptophyta; Magnoliopsida; Poales; Poaceae. RNAcentral also lists the same sequence under 1 other name.